Molecule: long non-coding RNA, 1091 nt
Organism: Salvelinus fontinalis (brook trout)
Lineage: Eukaryota; Metazoa; Chordata; Actinopteri; Salmoniformes; Salmonidae
Exons: 5
Source: RefSeq, a predicted model, not a curated record
CUUACAGUUAACUAGUCCAACGCAAUAACGACCUGCCUCUCUCUCGUUGCACUCCACAAGGAGACUGCCUGUUACGCGAAUGCAGUAAGCCAAGUGCACUGCCCACAACCGCACGGCUCUCCAGAGGGUGGUGCAGUCUGCCCAACGCAUCAACGGGAGCAAACUACCUGCCCUCCAGGACACCUACAGCACCCAAUAUCACAGGAAGGCCAAAACGAUCAUCAAGGACAACCACCCGAGCCACUGUCUGUUCUCCCCGCUAUCAUCUAGAAGGCGAGAUCAAUUUCAAUGUAGCCGAUCAGAGAUACAGAGAGCUGUGUAAGCCUGUCCGGAGAUGAAGAGGUCCCAAUGAAGCACAGUGGUUCUCAGUCCUGGUCCUCAAAGGGGUAUAUUUUGAUGUGAGAGAGGAUGCCAACCCCCAGUCCCUGCCACCUCACCUGCUAAAAGAUAACCCUUGGGCCAACUGAAGCCCAAGGCUGGUUAGGAGACAAUGCUAGAGACACUAUUAUGUAAUUAUGAUGUUUAGUAGCACUGUAAUUAAUUAAUCAUAUGCUGUCUUCCCUGCUCCUCUGUUCUUAUCUCUUUCCCUUUCUAUCAUUGACACUUUUUCUGACACCUCUCUCCCCACCUUCUUCCUUUCUGUUUUUAUAAUGCACACCAGAUGUGCAUUGAAGUACAAAUUGAACUUGUAUUUAUAAUAUAAUAUUACAAUUAUAAUAUUUAUAAUGCAUGUAUUAUGUAUUUAUAACACUUGCAUGAUGAACUUCUUUCAAUUAAGCUUUCCACAUUCUCUACUGGAAUUGGUUCACACUCUACUGGUUGAAAUUAAGUCUCUCGUUUGAUGAAAUACCACAACUAUUGUCAUGACUUCCGCCAAAGUCGGUCCCUCUUCUUGUUCGGGCAGUGUUUGGUGGUCGACGUCGACGGCCUUCUAGCCAUCGCCGAGCCACUUUUCAUUUUCCAUUUGUUUUGUCUUUGUUUUACACACCUGGUUUCAAUUCCCCAAUUACAUGGGCAUUAUUUAACCCUCUGUUUUUCCCAUGGUUUUUGUGCGUGAUUGUUUUAUUGUAAGUUCGGUCCGAUGUUUGUGG